Molecule: unclassified non-coding RNA, 250 nt
Filed under: plant metagenome
Description: partial contains small subunit ribosomal RNA, internal transcribed spacer 1, and 5.8S ribosomal RNA
Source: RNAcentral
GUAGGUGAACCUGCGGAAGGAUCAUUACAGAAAGUAAACGCGGAUCAAACCGCGAACUUCUAAACCUUUGACGAUUGACUUAUGUUGCCUCGGCGGGUUCUCCCGCCAGAGGAUACAUCAAAACUCCUGUUUUAACGGUGUUGUCUGAGCUACAAGCAACGAAUCAAAACUUUCAACAACGGAUCUCUUGGUUCUGGCAUCGAUGAAGAACGCAGCAUCUGACUGACUCGGGCAUAAGUCAUCUCGUAUG